CGAACGGCAGCGAGGAGAAGCUUGCUUCUCUGUCGGCGAGUGGCGAACGGGUGAGUAUAGCAUCGGAACGUGCCAAGUAGUGGGGGAUAACCAAACGAAAGUUUGGCUAAUACCGCGUAAGCUCCAAGGAGGAAAGUAGGGGACCUAAAUAAGGCCUUACGCUAUUUGAUCGGCCGAUGUCGGAUUAGCUAGUUGGUGGGGUAAUGGCUCACCAAGGCAAUGAUCCGUAGCGGGUCUGAGAGGACGAUCCGCCACACUGGGACUGAGACACGGCCCAGACUCCUACGGGAGGCAGCAGUGGGGAAUUUUGGACAAUGGGGGAAACCCUGAUCCAGCCAUGCCGCGUGUAUGAAGAAGGCCUUAGGGUUGUAAAGUACUUUUGUUAGGGAAGAAAAGCUAGUUUUUAAUAAAAAUUAGUGAUGACGGUACCUAAAGAAUAAGCACCGGCUAACUACGUGCCAGCAGCCGCGGUAAUACGUAGGGUGCAAGCGUUAAUCGGAAUUAUUGGGCGUAAAGCGAGUGCAGACGGUUACUUAAGCCAGAUGUGAAAUCCCCAAGCUUAACUUGGGACGUGCAUUUGGAACUGGGUGACUAGAGUGUGUCAGAGGGAGGUAGAAUUCCACAUGUAGCGGUGGAAUGCGUAGAGAUGUGGAGGAAUACCGAUGGCGAAGGCAGCCUCCUGGGAUAACACUGACGUU
RNAcentral lists this ribosomal RNA (698 nucleotides) under uncultured Burkholderiales bacterium. RNAcentral describes it as "bacterial SSU rRNA". It matches the Rfam family "Bacterial small subunit ribosomal RNA", at positions 63 to 747 of the family's 1533-position model. The record is from RNAcentral. Lineage: Bacteria; Pseudomonadati; Pseudomonadota; Betaproteobacteria; Burkholderiales.